CCCUUAGAUGUUCUGGGCUGCACACGCGCUACACUGAAGGGAUCAGCGUGUUCUUUUCCUGGUCCGAAAGGAUCGGGUAACCCGCUGAACCCCCUUCGUGGUAGGGAUCGGAGCUUGCAAUUAUUCUCCGUGAACCAGGAAUUCCCAGUAAGCGCAAGUCAUAAGCUUGCGUUGAUUACGUCCCUGCCCUUUGUACACACCGCCCGUCGCUACUACCGAUUGGACGUUUUAGUGAGGAUUUUGGACUGAGCCAAUGGUGGUUCACACCACUGUUGUGCAUGGAAAGAUCUCCAAACUUGAGCGUUUAGAGGAAGUAAAAGUCGUAGCA
This 328-nucleotide ribosomal RNA is filed under the name uncultured eukaryote. Its description in RNAcentral is "partial 18S ribosomal RNA". It matches the Rfam family "Eukaryotic small subunit ribosomal RNA", at positions 1470 to 1796 of the family's 1831-position model. The record is from RNAcentral.